Molecule: ribosomal RNA, 253 nt
Filed under: uncultured bacterium
Lineage: Bacteria
Description: partial 16S ribosomal RNA
Rfam family: Bacterial small subunit ribosomal RNA
Source: RNAcentral
UACGGGGGGGGCAAGCGUUGUUCGGAAUUACUGGGCGUAAAGGGCUCGUAGGCGGCCAACUAAGUCAGACGUGAAAUCCCUCGGCUUAACCGGGGAACUGCAUCUGAUACUGGAUGGCUUGAGUUCGGGAGAGGGAUGUGGAAUUCCAGGUGUAGCGGUGAAAUGCGUAGAUAUCAAGAGGAACACCGGUGGCGAAGGCGGAUCUCUGGGCCUGUCCUGACGCUGAGGCGCGAAAGCUAGGGGAGCGAACAGG